Molecule: ribosomal RNA, 857 nt
Filed under: Trichomonas vaginalis G3
Lineage: Eukaryota; Parabasalia; Trichomonadida; Trichomonadidae
Description: 16S ribosomal RNA
Rfam family: Eukaryotic small subunit ribosomal RNA
Source: RNAcentral
GGGGGAAUACUUUGACUCAUGAGGGAGAAGGGGAGGGGAAAGGCGUCUACCUAGAGGGUUUCUGUCGAUCAAGGGCGAGAGUAGGAGUAUCCCACAGGAUUAGAGACCCUGGUAGUUCCUACCUUAAACGAUGCCGACAGGAGUUUGUCAUUUGUUAAUGGCAGAAUCUUUGGAGAAAUCAUAGUUCUUGGGCUCUGGGGGAACUACGACCGCAAGGCUGAAACUUGAAGGAAUUGACGGAAGGGCACACCAGGGGUGGAGCCUGUGGCUUAAUUUGAAUCAACACGGGGAAACUUACCAGGACCAGAUGUUUUUUAUGACUGACAGGCUUCGGGUCUUUCAGGAUAUUGUUUUUGGUGGUGCAUGGCCGUUGGUGGUGCGUGGGUUGACCUGUCUAGCGUUGAUUCAGCUAACGAGCGAGAUUAUCGCCAAUUAUUUACUUUGCCGAAGUCCUUCGGUUAAAGUUCUAAUUGGGACUCCCUGCGAUUUUAGCAGGUGGAAGAGGGUAGCAAUAACAGGUCCGUGAUGCCCUUUAGAUGCUCUGGGCUGCACGCGUGCUACAAUGUUAGGAUCAAUAGGACUGCGAGCCUGAGAGGGUGCGCUACUCUUAUAAUCCCUAACGUAGUUGGGAUUGACGUUUGUAAUCAGCGUCAUGAACCAGGAAUCCCUUGUAAAUGUGUGUCAACAACGCACGUUGAAUACGUCCCUGCCCUUUGUACACACCGCCCGUCGCUCCUACCGAUUGGAUGACUCGGUGAAAUCACCGGAUGCUUACGAGCAGAAAGUGAUUAAAUCACGUUAUCUAGAGGAAGGAGAAGUCGUAACAAGGUAACGGUAGGUGAACCUGCCGUUGGAUC